ACAAGAAAUCGCUUUGAAGGCACUAGAUCAGAAGUGGAAUCACUGAUGAAAAAGAUGAAGGAGAAUCCCCUUGAGCACAAGACCAUCAGUCCCUACACCAUGGAGGGAUACCUCUACGUGCAGGAGAAACGUCACUUUGGAACUUCUUGGGUGAAGCACUACUGUACAUAUCAACGGGAUUCCAAACAAAUCACCAUGGUACCAUUUGACCAAAAGUCAGGAGGAAAAGGGGGAGAAGAUGAAUCAGUUACCCUCAAAUCCUGCACACGGCGGAAAACAGACUCCAUUGAGAAGAGGUUUUGCUUUGAUGUGGAAGCAGUAGACAGGGAAAAGACCCAGGAAAAUUGAAGGUUGGUGAAAGUCAGAAUAGUGGAGGCCAGAAAGAUUUUUGAAAGAUCUGAAGAAUCUCCUGGAACCCUCAGCACCCUCAUUUCAAAUAUGUUUGUAUGGCAGGCUGCAUGAUGCAGGUAAAAAAGAUAAGAGCAUUCCUAAAUUUGAAUUUGGGAUCUGUUCCUUACUAGCUGUGUGACUCUGGGUAAGUGGUUUAACCACAUCUGUAAGAUGGGGUGAGUUAUCACUACAUUGUAGGAUUUUUUCUGAAGGUGGAACACACUAAUAUUCCCCUCUGAUGGAGUCUUAUGUCUGAAAACAUGGCUGUUGAAUUUUUUACUAUACCCUAAAACCUGGGACUUUAUUGUUGUGAUGGUGAACCUUAGCUUUGGUGGAUAUUCCUGUGAGCCUGCUUUUUGUCUUAAUGGUGCUCCUUUUCCUGUAGUGUCAUGAGUUUUCAAGUUAUCUAUAAGCUGAGAGGAAAUACAGGUACAUUCAGGUUAUAUGUGCGAAGGGCCUGCUAGGGUAAGAUUCCAUUUUCAAACUGUGUAUGUGAUAACCUGUUAUUGAUACAUACUUC
Molecule: small RNA, 910 nt
Filed under: Pongo abelii (Sumatran orangutan)
Lineage: Eukaryota; Metazoa; Chordata; Mammalia; Primates; Hominidae
Description: processed transcript
Source: RNAcentral